UUUUUAUGUUUCACAAGCUUCAUGAUAAUGUUUGUAUGUUGCAUAAGUUUAUGGAAAUAAAUUAAUAUUAUACUUUUAAAAAAUUAAAACCCCACCGACCUUAAAAAAAAAAAAAAAAAAAAAAAAAAAAAAAUUUUGAUAAGGCAAUUUUUUGAUAAAACAAAAUUUUGAUAGAGCAAAAUUUUGAUAAAACAAAUAUAACAUGAUAAAUUAAUUGCAAUAGAAUGAACUAAAUAUAAUAUUAUAUUUAAGAAAAAAAAAUCAAAGGCAACAAAAAAAAUAUAAAAAUAAAAAACAAAAGAAAACAGAAGAAAAUAGAAGAAAAUAUAAACAAAGCGAAAUAUAACUCCAUUAUAUAUAUAUUACUAACUCCUAUAAACAUUAAGUCAAAAUGAUGCAAACAGAAACCUUGAAGUGGGUUGAUAUGGACAUUGACGAUUCCGAAUCUGUGAAUAAGAAUGAAAAUGAACAUGAAAAUGAGAAUGAUAACAAAAGCAGUAAUACAUUUAAAAAUGAAACAAUCAAUCAAACAAUUAAACGAACGAACGAACACAACAUAAUACUAUCCAUUUAUACACAUAUAUAUAUGUACAUAUACGUACAUAUACGAGUGACGCAAAUUAGAAAACAGACGAAACAGCACAAUGCGACAAAAUAAUUUAUACAUAAUAGAGCAUCCACCUUAUUUAAAAAAAUUUACAUAAAUCAUUCAUUAAAAUUUUUUUUUUUUUUUUUUUUNNNNNNNNNNUUUUGUAAUAUAUACCUACAAAUAUUUUUUUUGUAAUAUAUACCUUCAAAUAUUUUUUUUGUAAUAUUUUUUUUGUAACACUUUUUUUGAAAUAUUUUGUUUGAAAUACUUUUUUUUUGAGAUAUUUUUUUUUUUUUUUUUGUUAUUUAAAGUUGUGUUCUUUACUUUUUUAUACCGUUUGUGUACGUAUAAUACGUAUGUAUGUAUUUUUAUUUUUUUAUAUAUAACAAAAAUUGCUUAAAUUUUUAUCAUUUAAAAAGGGGGCUUUUUAAAUGCUUUAGUUACAUUAGGGAAAAAAAAAAAAAAAAAAAAUGGCUCGUGCACACUUGUAUUGAAAAUGUUAAAAAUAUAUAUACAAUCUAUGUUUUUUAUGUAUAUAGUAAAAGUAUAUAAAAAAAAAAAAAAAAAUAAUAAUAAAGUAAAAAUAGUAUUAAAAAAAAAAAAAAAU
RNAcentral lists this long non-coding RNA (1196 nucleotides) under Piliocolobus tephrosceles (Ugandan red Colobus). RNAcentral describes it as "lncRNA (ENSPTEG00000013438.1)". The record is from RNAcentral. Lineage: Eukaryota; Metazoa; Chordata; Mammalia; Primates; Cercopithecidae.